AAUCAACGCUGGCGGCGUGCCUAACACAUGCAAGUCGAACGAGAAGGUGACUUCGGUCACUGGAUAGUGGCGUCCGGGUGAGUAACACGUAGGUAAUCUACCUUCGGGUGGGGAAUAACGUCUCGAAAGAGACGCUAAUACCGCAUAAUGCAGCGGCACCUAAUGGUGAUUAGUUGUUAAAGCGGGGAUCUUCGGACCUCGCGCCUGAAGAGGAGCCUGCGGCAGAUUAGCUAGUUGGUGAGGUAAUGGCUCACCAAGGCUUCGAUCUGUAGCUGGUCUGAGAGGACGGCCAGCCACACUGGCACUGACACACGGGCCAGACUCCUACGGGAGGCAGCAGUGGGGAAUUUUGGGCAAUGGGCGAAAGCCUGACCCAGCAACGCCGCGUGAAGGAGGAAAUCCUUCGGGAUGUAAACUUCAUAAGUAAGGGAAGAAAGCUGCGGAUCGAAUAAGUCCGCAGUCCGACGGUACCUUACGUAAGCCACGGCUAA
RNAcentral lists this ribosomal RNA (491 nucleotides) under uncultured bacterium. Its description in RNAcentral is "bacterial SSU rRNA". It matches the Rfam family "Bacterial small subunit ribosomal RNA", at positions 32 to 500 of the family's 1533-position model. The record is from RNAcentral.